This 556-nucleotide ribosomal RNA is filed under the name uncultured bacterium. RNAcentral's name for it is "partial 16S ribosomal RNA". It matches the Rfam family "Bacterial small subunit ribosomal RNA", at positions 355 to 902 of the family's 1533-position model. The record is from RNAcentral.
UGGGGAAUCUUCCGCAAUGGACGAAAGUCUGACGGAGCAACGCCGCGUGAGUGAAGAAGGUUUUCGGAUCGUAAAACUCUGUCUUUUGGGGCGAACGUGAGUAUGGUGAACAAUCAUAGUCAGUGACGGUACCAAAGGAGGAAGCCACGGCUAACUACGUGCCAGCAGCCGCGGUAAUACGUAGGUGGCAAGCGUUGUCCGGAAUUAUUGGGCGUAAAGAGCGCGUAGGCGGGAUAGUCAGUCUGUUGUAAAAGUGCGGGGCUCAACCCCGUGAUCGCAAUGGAAACAGCUAUUCUUGAGUGCAGGAGAGGAAAGUGGAAUUCCCAGUGUAGCGGUGAAAUGCGUAGAUAUUGGGAGGAACACCAGUGGCGAAGGCGACUUUCUGGACUGUGUCUGACGCUGAGGCGCGAAAGCCAGGGGAGCGAACGGGAUUAGAUACCCCGGUAGUCCUGGCCGUAAACGAUGGGUACUAGGUGUGGGAGGUAUCGACCCCUUCCGUGCCGGAGUUAACGCAAUAAGUACCCCGCUGGGGAGUACGGUCGCAAGACUGAAACUU